This 429-nucleotide ribosomal RNA is filed under the name uncultured crenarchaeote. RNAcentral's name for it is "bacterial SSU rRNA". It matches the Rfam family "Archaeal small subunit ribosomal RNA", at positions 470 to 899 of the family's 1478-position model. The record is from RNAcentral. Lineage: Archaea; Thermoproteati; Thermoproteota.
GUAAAACCAGCUCUCCGAGUGGUAGGGAUGAUUAUUGGGCUUAAAGCGUCCGUAGCCGGCCUGGUAAGUCUUCCGUUAAAUCCAGCGUGCCAAGCGUUGGGCUGCGGGGGAUACUGCUAGGCUAGGGAGCGGGAGAGGCCGACGGUACUCUCGGGGUAGGGGUAAAAUCCUAUAAUCCCGGGAGGACCACCAGUGGCGAAGGCGGUCGGCUAGAACGCGUCCGACGGUGAGGGACGAAAGCUGGGGGAGCGAACCGGAUUAGAUACCCGGGUAGUCCCAGCUGUAAACGAUGCAGGCUAGGUGUUGGGGCGGCUACGAGCCGGUUCAGUGCCGCAGGGAAGCCGUUAAGCCUGCCGCCUGGGGAGUACGGUCGCAAGGCUGAAACUUAAAGGAAUUGGCGGGGGAGCACCACAAGGCGUGAAGCCUGCG